UGAACGCUAGCGGCAGGCCUAACACAUGCACGUCGAGGGCUAAGCCUUCGGGCUAAGACCGGCGCACGGGUGCGUAACGCGUAUACAAUCUGCCUUUUAUCCGGGGGAUAGCCCGAAGAAAUUUGGAUUAAUACCCUAUGGUAUAAGAGCACGGCAUCGUGCACUUAUUAAAGCUACGGCGGUAAAAGAUGAGUAUGCGUUCUAUUAGCUAGUUGGAGAGGUAACGGCUCCCCAAGGCGACGAUAGAUAGGGGUUCUGAGAGGGAUGUCCCCCACACUGGUACUGAGAUACGGACCAGACUCCUACGGGAGGCAGCAGUGAGGAAUAUUGGACAAUGGUCGGAAGACUGAUCCAGCCAUGCCGCGUGCAGGAUGACGGCCUUAUGGGUUGUAAACUGCUUUUGUAAGGGAAGAAUAAGGAGUACGUGUACUUUGAUGACGGUACCUUACGAAUAAGCAGCGGCUAACUCCGUG
RNAcentral lists this ribosomal RNA (473 nucleotides) under uncultured bacterium. RNAcentral describes it as "partial 16S ribosomal RNA". It matches the Rfam family "Bacterial small subunit ribosomal RNA", at positions 30 to 507 of the family's 1533-position model. The record is from RNAcentral.